GCUUGAAUCCCAGCCCCCCCCCCCCAAAAAAUUAAAACGAUCCAUCAAACAAGACAAAUAAAACAUUUUUUAACCAAGUAAAGGCGAUUAAAAAGUACCCAGGAGCUCUAACAUUAGUACCGCAAGGGAAAAGUGAAAUAAAAGUGAAAUAAGUUUAAAGCAUCACAAAGUAGAGAUUUACCCUCGUACCUUUUGCAUCAUGAUCUAAUUAGCACAACCAAGCAAGACGAACUUUAAGUUUGACACCCCGAAACUAGACGAGCUACUUCAAAACAGCCCUCAUGGGCCAACCCAUCUCUGUUGCAAAAGAGUGGGAAGAUUUUCAAGUAGGGGUGAUAAACCUACCGAGCCUAGAGAUAGCUGGUUAUUCAGGAAAAGGAUGUUAGUCCAAUUUUAAACCUUCACUUAAAACCUAAUACACUCAAAGAUUUAAAACUCAUUCAAAUAAGGUACAGCCUAUUUGAAAUAGGAUACAACCUACAACACCGGGUAAUGUUCUACAUUUGUGUAACUAAGUGGGCCUAAAAGCAGCCACCUUUUAAAAAGCGUUACAGCCUUAUCACACACACCCCCCCCCCAAUUUCAAUCCAGUAUCAAAACCCCUCAUUUCCCACUGAAUGACUCCAUAUCCUUAUGGAAGACCUUAUGUUAGAACUAGUAACAAGAAUAAUUAUUCUCCUACAAAUAUGUGUAAGCCGGAAUGAACCUCUCACCGGCAUUUAUCGCCAUGAACCUACAGUAACAACUUUACAAGAAAAUAUUACUCCUUCUCACGUUAACCUUACACUAGAAUUUUUCUGGAAAGAUUAAAAAAGGAGGAAGGAACUCGGCAAAUAUCAACCCCGCCUGUUUACCAAAAACAUCGCCUUCUGCCCAUUAAUAGAAGGUCUAGCCUGCCCAGUGAUAAACUUAAACGGCCGCGGUAUUUUAACCGUGCAAAGGUAGCACAAUCACUUGUUCUCUAAAUAAGGACUAGUAUGAACGGCAUCACGAGGGUUACACUGUCUCCCCCAUUUAAUCAGUGAAACUAAUCUCCCCGUGAAGAAGCGGGGAUCAACCUAUAAGACGAGAAGACCCCAUGGAGCUUCAAACUAAGUAGCACUUGCACCACCCAAUACCAUUUAAACCCAGCAAACUUGUCUACUAGUUUUUGGUUGGGGCGACCGCGGAGCAAAACAAAACCUCCACGACGAAAGGAGUUAACCUCCUAAUCUAAGAGCCACUACCCGCAGAAUCAAAAUACUGACCUAAAUUGACCCAUACCCUUGAGCAACGAACCAAGUUACCCUGGGGAUAACAGCGCAAUCCAUUUCAAGAGCCCCUAUCGACAAAUGGGUUUACGACCUCGAUGUUGGAUCAGGGUAUCCCAGUGGUGCAGCCGCUACUAAAGGUUCGUUUGUUCAACGAUCAAAACCCUACGUGAUCUGAGUUCAGACCGGAGAAAUCCAGGUCGGUUUCUAUCUAUUAAGAGUCUCUCCUAGUACGAAAGGAUCGGAGAAACAUGGCCAAUAUAUAAACAAGCCAUUGCUACAAACUAAUGACCUCAACUGAAUUAGUAUUAGCCUAGCAGCACCCCUGAGAUAACG
Molecule: ribosomal RNA, 1586 nt
Filed under: Sphenophryne schlaginhaufeni (Wandolleck's land frog)
Lineage: Eukaryota; Metazoa; Chordata; Amphibia; Anura; Microhylidae
Description: Liophryne schlaginhaufeni (Wandolleck's land frog) 16S ribosomal RNA
Rfam family: Bacterial large subunit ribosomal RNA
Source: RNAcentral